Molecule: ribosomal RNA, 492 nt
Filed under: uncultured bacterium
Lineage: Bacteria
Description: bacterial SSU rRNA
Rfam family: Bacterial small subunit ribosomal RNA
Source: RNAcentral
GAGUUUGAUACUUGGCUCAACGGACUUGAACGCUUGGCGGCACGCCUAACCCAUGCAAGUCGAGCGGUAACAUACUUAGUAGCAAUACUAAGUGAUGACGAGCGGCGGACGGGUGAGGAACACGUAGGAAUCUACCUUUAAGCGGGGGACAACCAAGGGAAACUUUGGCUAAUACCGCAUAACAUCGAAAGAUCAAAGCUGCCGGUAACGGUGGCACUUAAAGAGGGGCCUGCGUCCGAUUAGCUAGUUGGUAGGGUAAAAGCCUACCAAGGCGAUGAUCGGUAACUGGUCUGAGAGGACGACCAGUCACACUGGGACUGAGACACGGCCCAGACUCUACGGGAGGCAGCAGUGGGGAAUCUUGGACAAUGGGGGCAACCCUGAUCCAGCGAUGCCGCGUGAGUGAAGAAGGCCUUCGGGUCGUAAGCUCUUUAGGUUGGGUACGAAGGUUAUGUGGGAGUAAUCCAUGUAGCUUGACGGUACUAACAGAAU